CUGGGUUGAGGAAGAGAGGAGUCUAGGUGUUGAUGCUUGGCUGUGUGUGGUAAAGCAAAUGAAAGAAGAAAUUGAAGCAAAUCUUUAACCAAGCUAUCGUUUCCAUCCAAAGCAUCAGAAAUUGUUGAUGCUAAUGAAGAGAAAGACAUUGACCCAUGGGUAAUUUCGAGAGUGUGAAGGUAUUUUGAAGGAAGGACAGAGAAGACGGGAUGGAUAGAGAGGAAAGGAG
This 229-nucleotide unclassified non-coding RNA is filed under the name Hevea brasiliensis (rubber tree). The record is from RNAcentral. Lineage: Eukaryota; Viridiplantae; Streptophyta; Magnoliopsida; Malpighiales; Euphorbiaceae.